Molecule: ribosomal RNA, 497 nt
Filed under: uncultured bacterium
Lineage: Bacteria
Description: partial 16S ribosomal RNA
Rfam family: Bacterial small subunit ribosomal RNA
Source: RNAcentral
GAUGAACGCUGGCGGCGUGCCUAAUACAUGCCAGUCGAGCGAACAGACGAGGAGCUUGCUCCUGUGACGUUAGCGGCGGACGGGUGAGUAACACGGAGGUAACCGACCGGGAAGACUGGGAUAACUUCGGGAAACCGGGGCUAAAACCGGAGAAUAUUUCGAACCGCAUGGUUCGAUAGUAAAAGACGGCGGUGAUAUCACUUAUGGAUGGAGCUGCGCCGUAGUAGCUAGUUGGUAAGGGAACGGCUUACCAAGGCAACGGUGCGUAGCCGACCCGAGAGGGUGAUCGGCCACCCUGGAACUGAGACAGGGCGCACACUCCUACGGGAGGCAGCAGUAGGGACUCUUCCGCAAUGCGCCAAAGCGUGACGGAGCAACGCCGCGGGAGUGAUGAAGGUCUUCGGAUCGUAAAACUCUGUUAUUAGGGAAGAACAAAAGUGUAAGUAACUGUGCACGUCUUGACGGUACCUAAGUAGAAAGCCCCGGCUAACUACGUG